This 224-nucleotide long non-coding RNA is filed under the name Gossypium raimondii (Peruvian cotton). Its description in RNAcentral is "long non-coding RNA (GRAI_LNC004700)". The record is from RNAcentral. Lineage: Eukaryota; Viridiplantae; Streptophyta; Magnoliopsida; Malvales; Malvaceae.
GUGUAUUUUUUUUUUGUUUCUUUGAUAUUCCAACCACAAAACGUAUAUGGUGGUUGUCAAUGGUAAGGGAUAGUACCCACCUAUGUAGUGUAGGCUUAAUGUUUUAUCUUUUGUUGGUCUUUCGGAAGGGUAAGUUCCUUCUAUUUGUUAUUUGGGGCUUCAUCUUUCUAGAGAAAUAAGCCCAAACAUUAUCAAUGCAUCAAAAGGCUAUUGAUGGUUCAAAU